GACGAACGCUGGCGGCGUGCCUAAUACAUGCAAGUUGAGCGCUGAAGGUUGGUACUUGUACCAACUGGAUGAGCAGCGAACGGGUGAGUAACGCGUGGGGAAUCUGCCUUUGAGCGGGGGACAACAUUUGGAAACGAAUGCUAAUACCGCAUAAAAACUUUAAACACAAGUUUUAAGUUUGAAAGAUGCAAUUGCAUCACUCAAAGAUGAUCCCGCGUUGUAUUAGCUAGUUGGUGAGGUAAAGGCUCACCAAGGCGAUGAUACAUAGCCGACCUGAGAGGGUGAACGGCCACAUUGGGAAUGGGACACGGCCCAAACUCCUACGGGAGGCAGCAGUAGGGAAUCUUCGGGAAUGGACGAAAGUCUGACCGGGCAACGCCGCGUGAGUGAAGAAGGUUUUCGGAUCGUAAAACUCUGUUGGUAGAGAAGAACGUUGGUGGGAGUGGAAAGCUCAUCAAGUGACGGUAACUACCCAGAAAGGGACGGCUAACCACGUG
Molecule: ribosomal RNA, 497 nt
Filed under: uncultured bacterium
Lineage: Bacteria
Description: partial 16S ribosomal RNA
Rfam family: Bacterial small subunit ribosomal RNA
Source: RNAcentral